UUUCCGUAGGUGAACCUGCGGAAGGAUCAUUAUUGAAUAACCCUGAUGUGGUUGUAGCUGGCCCUUUCGGGAGCAUGUGCACACCCGUCGUCUUUAUCUUUCCACCUGUGCACCUUUUGUAGACCUGGAUGUAACACUUUCCGAGGCAACUCGGUCGGGAGGAAUGCUGUCAACUUUCCUUGAAUGUCCAGGCCUAUGUUUUCAUAUACCCCAAAGAAUGUAACAGAAUGUAUUAUUGGGCCUUGUGCCUAUAAACUAUAUACAACUUUCAGCAACGGAUCUCUUGGCUCUC
Molecule: unclassified non-coding RNA, 292 nt
Filed under: plant metagenome
Description: partial contains small subunit ribosomal RNA, internal transcribed spacer 1, and 5.8S ribosomal RNA
Source: RNAcentral